RNAcentral lists this ribosomal RNA (695 nucleotides) under uncultured bacterium. Its description in RNAcentral is "bacterial SSU rRNA". It matches the Rfam family "Bacterial small subunit ribosomal RNA", at positions 57 to 747 of the family's 1533-position model. The record is from RNAcentral.
GCAAGUCGAGCGGUAGAGAGGUGCUUGCACCUCUUGAGAGCGGCGGACGGGUGAGUAAAGCCUAGGAAUCUGCCUGGUAGUGGGGGAUAACGCUCGGAAACGGACGCUAAUACCGCAUACGUCCUACGGGAGAAAGCAGGGGACCUUCGGGCCUUGCGCUAUCAGAUGAGCCUAGGUCGGAUUAGCUAGUUGGUGAGGUAAUGGCUCACCAAGGCGACGAUCCGUAACUGGUCUGAGAGGAUGAUCAGUCACACUGGAACUGAGACACGGUCCAGACUCCUACGGGAGGCAGCAGUGGGGAAUAUUGGACAAUGGGCGAAAGCCUGAUCCAGCCAUGCCGCGUGUGUGAAGAAGGUCUUCGGAUUGUAAAGCACUUUAAGUUGGGAGGAAGGGCAUUAACCUAAUACGUUAGUGUUUUGACGUUACCGACAGAAUAAGCACCGGCUAACUCUGUGCCAGCAGCCGCGGUAAUACAGAGGGUGCAAGCGUUAAUCGGAAUUACUGGGCGUAAAGCGCGCGUAGGUGGUUCGUUAAGUUGGAUGUGAAAUCCCCGGGCUCAACCUGGGAACUGCAUUCAAAACUGUCGAGCUAGAGUAUGGUAGAGGGUGGUGGAAUUUCCUGUGUAGCGGUGAAAUGCGUAGAUAUAGGAAGGGACACCAGUGGCGAAGGCGACCACCUGGACUGAUACUGACACU